ACGAUCCUUCGGGGCAGGGUGAAAUUCCCUACCGGCGGUGAUGGACGUGGUGAAGAAGCGUAAAGCCUAUGCAAAAGCUUAUCACUGCGGACUUAGUCCGUGACCCGGAUAUACGUAAGUAUAUGCGGUGGACCUGGUGCAAAUCCGGGACCGACAGUAUAGUCUGGAUGGGAGAAGGAGAGA
RNAcentral lists this non-coding RNA (183 nucleotides) under Paenibacillus uliginis. RNAcentral describes it as "FMN sequence". It matches the Rfam family "FMN riboswitch aptamer (RFN element)". From Rfam's summary of the family: The RFN element is a highly conserved domain that is found frequently in the 5'-untranslated regions of prokaryotic mRNAs that encode for flavin mononucleotide (FMN) biosynthesis and transport proteins. This element is a metabolite-dependent riboswitch that directly binds FMN in the absence of proteins. Lineage: Bacteria; Bacillati; Bacillota; Bacilli; Caryophanales; Paenibacillaceae. RNAcentral also lists the same sequence under 1 other name. The record is from RNAcentral.